GACCUACUGCGCAUCAGCGCCGGCGGCAAAAACUUUGGACUGUCGUAUGACUCUGCCAGAUCUUCUGGACAGCAGGCAGCCAGGGGGCCUACCGGCACUGAAUCGGAUCGAGCAGAACCAGGCGAUCACCGCAGGACCGGGACUCGAUCACCGCCUGGCUGGCCUGGUUGCAGCAGACCGCCGCACAGCAGCGGAUUCAG
This 200-nucleotide ribosomal RNA is filed under the name uncultured eukaryote. RNAcentral describes it as "partial 18S ribosomal RNA". The record is from RNAcentral.